Non-coding RNA from Macaca mulatta (Rhesus monkey), 735 nucleotides. The record is from RefSeq and is a predicted model, not a curated record. NCBI's taxonomy places the organism in Eukaryota, Metazoa, Chordata, Mammalia, Primates, Cercopithecidae.
UAGGUUUCGGUUUCUUGGGUCGGACGUCAUGUUGCGCCUGCGCUGUCAGAUAGUGAUUUUCGCGGGCGCGGGAAAAAUGGGUGAAGAAGAAGCAGGAAGAGCGCCAUCUUUUAUGGGAUGUUAGUACAGGGAAGAAGCUAGGUGCAGAGAAUGCCAAGACCCUAGGGGAUAGUGGGAUGACAAGACUGUAGGAGCUAUCUGCCAACCAGAACACAUAUCUUGAACUGUUGUGGGAGCAAGAAACAAGCAUCUGUUGUAUUCGCAGCCUGUUAAGUGUGCCCUGUCUGCUGUUCACCACAGUCCCUGUGUUCCAAUUAAGAGAAGCCAGGGAAGUAAUCUCUUGAUGUUUGCCAAAUUGUCAGCCACUGGGGUGCUGUCAGCCACUGGGGUGCUGGACCACUUCUGGGUUCUAUGCAGCGUCAAGCAAGCUUCUUUUGAGUAAUUUACAGUUUUUGACAAUUGAGUAAAUACUCCCGUGAGCAAAAUUUGAAGCAUAUUUUUUUCUCUCUACCUGAUUUUGAGGCAGGAUAGGUAGUCAAAGAAGUGACCAUGUCCUCAGGACACAGCAACCAUGGUGACCAUACAAUUAACACAAUAAGCCUCAUCAUUCGGGUUGCAAUCGAGCUCAUUCAAGCAAAGCGAUCUUCAGAAGGGUUCUGAAGGGUGUACUGUGUAUUCUGCACCUAACUUUCAGAAUAUUCCUUUUCUUUGGCAAUAAAUUUCUUUUGUUGUGUG